Molecule: long non-coding RNA, 460 nt
Organism: Saccoglossus kowalevskii
Lineage: Eukaryota; Metazoa; Hemichordata; Enteropneusta; Harrimaniidae
Source: RefSeq, a predicted model, not a curated record
UCACACUUUGCUGACUAUCAGAAUAUUUAUUGGCAAGAUGUCAUAUCUUACAAACUUUUAUUUAUUGGUAGCAUGUAGUCUAAUUUUGUCAACUAUACACAGUGGGUUUGCAUUGGAGAGCGGUCGUAGACGUGGUGGAGGUGGCGGAGUAACCACCGUUGCUCCUGGACCUGGGUGCGGUAUGAAUGCCAAACUCGUGGCCUUAAUUGAUGACAACACUGGAACAUAUACACUGGGAGAUAACUUUGACUGCACAUGUACGUCGGUCCCUAAAGGAAAUAAUGGUAAUGGUAAUGGCGGUACAUAAUGUUACCAACAAUCAUCAUGGAUAAUGCAGUCUAAUAAUCCCACAGACAUUCUUAACGAAUUAGUAGUUCUUGUCUGUGUUAUCUAUGUUACAUAAUCGAAUAUAUUAUAUUUGUAUAUACCAUAUUAUUAUUAAAAUGUAUCAAGCAUUAAA